This 255-nucleotide ribosomal RNA is filed under the name uncultured Thiobacillus sp. RNAcentral describes it as "partial 16S ribosomal RNA". It matches the Rfam family "Bacterial small subunit ribosomal RNA", at positions 68 to 323 of the family's 1533-position model. Lineage: Bacteria; Pseudomonadati; Pseudomonadota; Betaproteobacteria; Nitrosomonadales; Thiobacillaceae. The record is from RNAcentral.
GGCAGCACGGGGGCUUGCUCCUGGUGGCGAGUGGCGAACGGGUGAGUAAUGCGUCGGAACGUACCGAGUAAUGGGGGAUAACGCACCGAAAGGUGUGCUAAUACCGCAUACGCCCUGAGGGGGAAAGCAGGGGAUCGUAAGACCUUGCGUUAUUCGAGCGGCCGACGUCUGAUUAGCUUGUUGGUGGGGUAAUGGCCUACCAAGGCGACGAUCAGUAGCGGGUCUGAGAGGAUGAUCCGCCACACUGGAACUGAG